AUAGAGUCCUCGACGUCCAGGAGGAGGCCCCAGUGCAUGGUUGUAUAUCCUAGUUGUAAGUUCUUCUAGUUCUUCUAUGUGAGCCGCCACCACAGCACGGCAACUGACAGAUGGGUGUUGUGGUUCUGCGACUGGGAAACAAAUCUGGGCCACUGAAGCGACCGACAUGUGAAGCCUCAGGUGGUUCUGCCUCCCCCACUUCAUAACUCUGCUGCCUCUUUCUGCCUCCACCUGGGCUAUGACCACUUCCGGUACAGAAACAGCCAAGGAGGAAACAGGCUGGAGAACUGUGGCUUUCUGUCCUCAACUACGAUAUCAGAGCUGGGUUCCCUGGGAACUGUAAAUUUUCGUAAUGACUUUAGACAACUCUCCCC
RNAcentral lists this long non-coding RNA (374 nucleotides) under Equus asinus (donkey). Its description in RNAcentral is "lncRNA (ENSEASG00005037753.1)". The record is from RNAcentral. Lineage: Eukaryota; Metazoa; Chordata; Mammalia; Perissodactyla; Equidae.